Molecule: ribosomal RNA, 538 nt
Filed under: uncultured bacterium
Lineage: Bacteria
Description: bacterial SSU rRNA
Rfam family: Bacterial small subunit ribosomal RNA
Source: RNAcentral
AGCUAAUAGAUACCCGGGUAGUCCACGCCCUAAACGAUGUCUACUAGUUGUUGGUGGAGUAAAAUCCAUGAGUAAACGCAGCUAAACGCGUGAAGUAGACCGCCUGGGGAGUACGGUCGCAAGAUUAAAACUCAAAGGAAUUGACGGGGGCCCGCACAAGCGGUGGAUUAUGUGGAUUAAAUUCGAUGCAACGCGAAAAACCUUACCUGGCCUUGACAUGCCACUAACGAAGCAGAGAUGCAUUAGGUGCCCGUAAGGGAAAGUGGACACAGGUGCUGCAUGGCUGUCGUCAGCUCGCGUCGUGAGAUGUUGGGUUAAGUCCCGCAACGAGCGCAACCCUUGCCAUUAAUUGCCAUCAUUUAGUUGGGUCACUUUAAUGGGACUGCCGGUGACAAACCGGAGGAAGGUGGGGAUGACGUCAAGUCCUCAUGGCCCUUAUGGCCAGGGCUUCACACGUAAUACAAUGGUCGGUACAGAGAGUUGCCAACCCGCGAGGGGAGGCUAAUCUCAGAAAGCCGAUCGUAGUCCGGAUUGUUCU